GCCGGGAUGGCGGAAUUGGCAGACGCGCAUGGUUGAGGGCCAUGUGGGAGUAAUCCCGUGGGGGUUCAAAUCCCCCUCCCGGCA
RNAcentral lists this transfer RNA (84 nucleotides) under Candidatus Omnitrophota bacterium. RNAcentral describes it as "Candidatus Omnitrophica bacterium tRNA-Leu". It matches the Rfam family "tRNA". From Rfam's summary of the family: Transfer RNA (tRNA) molecules are approximately 80 nucleotides in length. Their secondary structure includes four short double-helical elements and three loops (D, anti-codon, and T loops). Further hydrogen bonds mediate the characteristic L-shaped molecular structure. tRNAs have two regions of fundamental functional importance: the anti-codon, which is responsible for specific mRNA codon recognition, and the 3' end, to which the tRNAs corresponding amino acid is attached (by aminoacyl-tRNA synthetases). tRNAs cope with the degeneracy of the genetic code in two manners: having more than one tRNA (with a specific anti-codon) for a particular amino acid; and 'wobble' base-pairing, i.e. permitting non-standard base-pairing at the 3rd anti-codon position. Lineage: Bacteria; Pseudomonadati; Candidatus Omnitrophota. The record is from RNAcentral. RNAcentral also lists the same sequence under 1 other name.